AUUGGUGGUUCAGUGGUAGAAUUCUCGC
RNAcentral lists this non-coding RNA (28 nucleotides) under Xenopus tropicalis (tropical clawed frog). Lineage: Eukaryota; Metazoa; Chordata; Amphibia; Anura; Pipidae. RNAcentral also lists the same sequence under 8 other names. The record is from RNAcentral.